RNAcentral lists this small RNA (120 nucleotides) under Marmota monax (woodchuck). The record is from RNAcentral. Lineage: Eukaryota; Metazoa; Chordata; Mammalia; Rodentia; Sciuridae.
GCUGGGUGUGGUGGCGAACAUCUAUAAUCCCAGCAACUCUGGAGGCUGGGACAGGAGAAUCAUGAGUUCAAAGCCAGAUUCAGCAACAGCACUAAGCAACUCAGUGAGACCCUGUCUCUA